This 68-nucleotide transfer RNA is filed under the name uncultured Filifactor sp. It matches the Rfam family "tRNA". From Rfam's summary of the family: Transfer RNA (tRNA) molecules are approximately 80 nucleotides in length. Their secondary structure includes four short double-helical elements and three loops (D, anti-codon, and T loops). Further hydrogen bonds mediate the characteristic L-shaped molecular structure. tRNAs have two regions of fundamental functional importance: the anti-codon, which is responsible for specific mRNA codon recognition, and the 3' end, to which the tRNAs corresponding amino acid is attached (by aminoacyl-tRNA synthetases). tRNAs cope with the degeneracy of the genetic code in two manners: having more than one tRNA (with a specific anti-codon) for a particular amino acid; and 'wobble' base-pairing, i.e. permitting non-standard base-pairing at the 3rd anti-codon position. The record is from RNAcentral. Lineage: Bacteria; Bacillati; Bacillota; Clostridia; Peptostreptococcales; Filifactoraceae.
CGGAUGUAGCUCAAUGGCAGAGCUCCGGCUUCCCAAGCCGAUUACGAGGGUUCGAUUCCCUUCAUCCG